Molecule: ribosomal RNA, 453 nt
Filed under: uncultured bacterium
Lineage: Bacteria
Description: bacterial SSU rRNA
Rfam family: Bacterial small subunit ribosomal RNA
Source: RNAcentral
GAUGAACGCUGGCGGCGUGCUUAACACAUGCAAGUCGAACGAAGCACUUUAUUUGAUUUCCUUCGGGACUGAUUAUUUUGUGACUGAGUGGCGGACGGGUGAGUAACGCGUGGGUAACCUGCCUUGUACAGGGGGAUAACAGUUGGAAACGGCUGCUAAUACCGCAUAAGCGCACAGCAUCGCAUGAUGCAGUGUGAAAAACUCCGGUGGUAUAAGAUGGACCCGCGUUGGAUUAGCUAGUUGGUGAGGUAACGGCCCACCAAGGCGACGAUCCAUAGCCGACCUGAGAGGGUGACCGGCCACAUUGGGACUGAGACACGGCCCAAACUCCUACGGGAGGCAGCAGUGGGGAAUAUUGCGCAAUGGGCGAAAGCCUGAUGCAGCGACGCCGCGUGAGCGAAGAAGUAUUUCGGUAUGUAAAGCUCUAUCAGCAGGGAAGAUAAUGACGGUACC